GACGAACGCUGGCGGCGUGCCUAAUACAUGCAAGUAGAACGCUGAAGGAAGGAGCUUGCUCUUUCUGGAUGAGUUGCGAACGGGUGAGUAACGCGUAGGUAACCUGCCUGGUAGCGGGGGAUAACUAUUGGAAACGAUAGCUAAUACCGCAUAAAAUUGAUUAUUGCAUGAUAGUCAAUUAAAAGGUGCAACUGCACCACUACCAGAUGGACCUGCGUUGUAUUAGCUAGUGGGUGGGGUAACGGCUCACCAAGGCGACGAUACAUAGCCGACCUGGGAGGGGGUUCGGCCACACUGGGACUGGGACACGGCCCAGACGCCUACUGGAGGCAGCCGUAGGGAAUCUUCGGCAAUGGCCGGAAGUCUGACCGGGCAACGCCGCGUGAGUGGAGAAGGUUUUCGGAUCGUAAAGCUCUGUUGUAAGGGAAGAAAGAGUGUGAGAGUGGAAAGUUCACACUGUGACGGUAUCUUACCAGAAAGGGACGGCUAACUACGUG
RNAcentral lists this ribosomal RNA (497 nucleotides) under uncultured bacterium. Its description in RNAcentral is "partial 16S ribosomal RNA". It matches the Rfam family "Bacterial small subunit ribosomal RNA", at positions 28 to 507 of the family's 1533-position model. The record is from RNAcentral.